ACAGCUCAUGGUUAGAGCUUAGAGCUGAGGCCAUUGGCUGGCCACAAGAUGGGCAAGUCUUUUGCUAACACCACAAGGGUCUUUGGCUCAAUGAGUGGAGUUUGAUAGUAAUUUUUACUACAGUU
This 125-nucleotide small nucleolar RNA is filed under the name Zalophus californianus (California sea lion). The record is from RNAcentral. Lineage: Eukaryota; Metazoa; Chordata; Mammalia; Carnivora; Otariidae.